RNAcentral lists this ribosomal RNA (468 nucleotides) under uncultured bacterium. Its description in RNAcentral is "partial 16S ribosomal RNA". It matches the Rfam family "Bacterial small subunit ribosomal RNA", at positions 28 to 507 of the family's 1533-position model. The record is from RNAcentral.
GACGAACGCUGGCGGCGUGCUUAACACAUGCAAGUCGAACGGAAAGGCCCUGCUUUUGUGGGGUGCUCGAGUGGCGAACGGGUGGGUAACACGUGAGUAACCUGCCCUUGACUUUGGGAUAACUUCAGGAAACUGGGGCUAAUACCGGAUAGGAGCUCCUGCUGCAUGGUGGGGGUUGGAAAGUUUCGGCGGUUGGGGAUGGACUCGCGGCUUAUCAGCUUGUUGGUGGGGUAGUGGCUUACCAAGGCUUUGACGGGUAGCCGGCCUGAGAGGGUGACCGGCCACAUUGGGACUGAGAUACGGCCCAGACUCCUACGGGAGGCAGCAGUGGGGAAUAUUGCACAAUGGGCGGAAGCCUGAUGCAGCAACGCCGCGUGCGGGAUGACGGCCUUCGGGUUGUAAACCGCUUUCGCCUGUGACGAAGCGUGAGUGACGGUAAUGGGUAAAGAAGCGCCGGCUAACUACGUG